This 497-nucleotide ribosomal RNA is filed under the name uncultured bacterium. Its description in RNAcentral is "partial 16S ribosomal RNA". It matches the Rfam family "Bacterial small subunit ribosomal RNA", at positions 28 to 507 of the family's 1533-position model. The record is from RNAcentral.
GAUGAACGCUGGCGGCGUGCCUAAUACAUGCAAGUCGAGCGAACGGACGAGAAGCUUGCUUCUCUGAUGUUAGCGGCGGACGGGUGAGUAACACGUGGAUAACCUACCUAUAAUACUGGGAUAACUUCGGGAAACCGGAGCUAAUACCGGAUAAUAUUUUGAACCGCAUGGUUCAAAAGUGAAAGACGGUCUUGCUGUCACUUAUAGAUGGAUCCGCGCUGCAUUAGCUAGUUGGUAAGGUAACGGCUUACCAAGGCAACGAUGCAUAGCCGACCUGAGAGGGUGAUCGGCCACACUGGAACUGAGACACGGUCCAGACUCCUACGGGAGGCAGCAGUAGGGAAUCUUCCGCAAAGGGCGAAAGCCUGACGGAGCAACGCCGCGUGAGUGAUGAAGGUCUUCGGAUCGUAAAACUCUGUUAUUAGGGAAGAACAUAUGUGUAAGUAACUGUGCACAUCUUGACGGUACCUAAUCAGAAAGCCACGGCUAACUACGUG